UACGUAGGGUGCAAGCGUUGCUCGGAAUUACUGGGCGUAAAGCGCACGUAGGCGGAUUGUUAAGUCGGGGGUGAAAUCGCUCGGCUCAACUGGGCGGGGUCCAUGGAAACUGGUCAGCUGGAGGACGGUAGAGGUGAGUGGAAUUCCCGGUGUAGUGGUGAAAUGCGUAGAGAUCGGGAGGAACACCCGUGGCGAAGGCGGCUCACUGGGCCGGUCCUGACGCUGAGACGCGAAGGCGUGGGGAGCGAACGGG
RNAcentral lists this ribosomal RNA (253 nucleotides) under uncultured bacterium. Its description in RNAcentral is "partial 16S ribosomal RNA". It matches the Rfam family "Bacterial small subunit ribosomal RNA", at positions 524 to 776 of the family's 1533-position model. The record is from RNAcentral.